UACGUAGGGGGCAAGCGUUGUCCGGAAUUAUUGGGCGUAAAGAGCGCGUAGGCGGUCCGAUAAGUCGGCUGUGAAAGUCAGGGGCUCAACCCUUGGAAGCCGGCCGAUACUGUCGAGCUAGAGUCCGGAAGAGGCGAGUGGAAUUCCUGGUGUAGCGGUGAAAUGCGCAGAUAUCAGGAAGAACACCCGUGGCGAAGGCGGCUCUCUGGGACGGUACUGACGCUGAGACGCGAAAGCGUGGGGAGCGAACAGG
RNAcentral lists this ribosomal RNA (253 nucleotides) under uncultured bacterium. RNAcentral describes it as "partial 16S ribosomal RNA". It matches the Rfam family "Bacterial small subunit ribosomal RNA", at positions 524 to 776 of the family's 1533-position model. The record is from RNAcentral.